ACCCUUGCUCGGGUGUGAUGUGUCUAAUGAUUAAUCAUAUCACAGCCGUGCUUUAAGGGCUU
This 62-nucleotide microRNA precursor is filed under the name Gyrodactylus salaris (gyrodactylosis fluke). RNAcentral describes it as "microRNA gsa-mir-2d precursor". Its record names the gene gsa-mir-2d. The record is from miRBase by way of RNAcentral. Lineage: Eukaryota; Metazoa; Platyhelminthes; Monogenea; Gyrodactylidea; Gyrodactylidae.